UACGUAGGGGGCAAGCGUUGUCCGGAAUCAUUGGGCGUAAAGCGCGUGUAGGCGGUCCGGUAAGUCGGCUGUGAAAGUCCAGGGCUCAACCCUGGGAUGCCGGUCGAUACUGCCGGACUAGAGUUCGGAAGAGGCGAGUGGAAUUCCCGGUGUAGCGGUGAAAUGCGCAGAUAUCGGGAGGAACACCAAUGGCGAAAGCGGCUCACUGGACCACAACUGACGCUGAGGCGCGAAAGCUAGGGGAGCAAACAGG
This 253-nucleotide ribosomal RNA is filed under the name uncultured bacterium. Its description in RNAcentral is "partial 16S ribosomal RNA". It matches the Rfam family "Bacterial small subunit ribosomal RNA", at positions 524 to 776 of the family's 1533-position model. The record is from RNAcentral.